CUGGUUAAAAUCCUGGUGAGAAUC
RNAcentral lists this transfer RNA (24 nucleotides) under Notothenia microlepidota. Its description in RNAcentral is "partial tRNA-Glu". The record is from RNAcentral. Lineage: Eukaryota; Metazoa; Chordata; Actinopteri; Perciformes; Nototheniidae.